RNAcentral lists this long non-coding RNA (575 nucleotides) under Mus musculus (house mouse). Its description in RNAcentral is "Hand2, opposite strand 1". The record is from RNAcentral. Lineage: Eukaryota; Metazoa; Chordata; Mammalia; Rodentia; Muridae.
GCCGAGGUCCUCUUCUAGGAUUGGUUGUCCACUCAUAACCAUAAGAUAAUUAAAACGGGGGGGGGCAGGGUAAAAAAAAAACCCUUUUAUCAGCCAUAGGUUAAUGCAAGUGUUUAACAGAUGCUUCGCUAUUAAAAUAUUUCCCCCCAAUACUGAAGAAUCUUAAACCAGAAGGCACAGUUCAUUCUCGAGCAAUUCGUCACCUCCUGGGGGUCUUCUCUUCCCGUCUACAGGAGAGUGUGACUUCAGAAAGAACUUCGGAUUGGCCAAGGCAGGUCUGAUUCUAUUUAUUCUAAAGACAGAGUUGGAGAUGGGCUACCAUUGGUGUUGAUUGAGAUGACAAGCAGUCACCUGAGCCCAUACAGCUGGUAAGUAGAACAGUACUGGAGAGAUGGCUCAGCAGUUAAGAGCACUGACUGCUCUUCCAGAGAUCCUGAGUUCAAUUCCCAGCAACCACAUGGUGGCUCACAAACAUCUGUAAUGAGAUCAGGUGCCCUCUUCUGGUGCCUUUGAAGACAAAGACAGUGUAGUGUCAUAUAUAUAAAAUAAAUAAAUCUUUAGAAAUUUGAAAAUAA